This 459-nucleotide ribosomal RNA is filed under the name uncultured bacterium. RNAcentral describes it as "partial 16S ribosomal RNA". It matches the Rfam family "Bacterial small subunit ribosomal RNA", at positions 338 to 795 of the family's 1533-position model. The record is from RNAcentral.
CCUACGGGUGGCUGCAGUGAGGAAUAUUGGUCAAUGGGCGAGAGCCUGAACCAGCCAAGUCGCGUGAGGGAAGACGGUCCUAUGGAUUGUAAACCUCUUUUGCCGGGGAGCAAAAAGCGGUACGUGUACCGCAUCGCGAGUACCCGGAGAAAAAGCAUCGGCUAACUCCGUGCCAGCAGCCGCGGUAAUACGGAGGAUGCGAGCGUUAUCCGGCUUUAUUGGGUUUAAAGGGUGCGCAGGCGGCGAGUUAAGUCAGCGGUAAAAUUUCGGGGCUCAACCCCGACGAGCCGUUGAAACUGGCGUGCUAGAGUGGGCGAGAAGUACGCGGAAUGCGCGGUGUAGCGGUGAAAUGCAUAGAGAUCGCGAAGAACUCCGAUUGCGAAGGCAGCGUACCGGCGCCAGACUGACGCUGAGGCACGAAAGCGUGGGGAUCGAACAGGAUUAGAUACCCCUGUAGUC